Molecule: ribosomal RNA, 403 nt
Filed under: uncultured bacterium
Lineage: Bacteria
Description: partial 16S ribosomal RNA
Rfam family: Bacterial small subunit ribosomal RNA
Source: RNAcentral
AUUGAACGCUGGCGGCAGGCCUAACACAUGCAACUCGCGCGAGCGGCGGACGGGUGAGUAAUGUAUGGGGACUGCCCGAUAGAGGGGGAUAACGACUGGAAACGGUAGCUAAUACCGCAUACUAUCCGAUAACCCAUAUGGGAUUAGCUAGUAUGUGAGUGAACGUCUCACCUAGGCGACGAUCCCUAGCUGGUCUGAGAGGAUGAUCAGCCACACUGGGACGGAGACAAGGCCCAGACUCCUACGGAGGCAGUAGGGGGGAAGAUUGCACAAUGGGCGCAAGCCUGAUGCAGCCAUGCCGCGUGUAUGAAGAAGGCCCUAGGGUUGUAAAGUACUUUCAGUCGGGAGGCGUUACCCGCAGAAGAAGCACCGGCUAACUCCGUGCCAGCCGCCGCGGUAAUUC